This 929-nucleotide ribosomal RNA is filed under the name Nostoc commune NTC. RNAcentral describes it as "bacterial SSU rRNA". It matches the Rfam family "Bacterial small subunit ribosomal RNA", at positions 22 to 992 of the family's 1533-position model. Lineage: Bacteria; Bacillati; Cyanobacteriota; Cyanophyceae; Nostocales; Nostocaceae. The record is from RNAcentral.
GCUCAGGAUGAACGCUGGCGGUAUGCUUAACACAUGCAAGUCGAACGAAAUCUUUCGGGAUUUAGUGGCGGACGGGUGAGUAACGCGUGAGAAUCUGGCUCUAGGUCUGGGACAACCACUGGAAACGGUGGCUAAUACCGGAUGUGCCGAAAGGUGAAAGGUUAACUGCCUGGAGAUGAGCUCGCGUCUGAUUAGCUAGUAGGUGUGGUAAAGGCGCACCUAGGCGACGAUCAGUAGCUGGUCUGAGAGGACGAUCAGCCACACUGGGACUGAGACACGGCCCAGACUCCUACGGGAGGCAGCAGUGGGGAAUUUUCCGCAAUGGGCGAAAGCCUGACGGAGCAAUACCGCGUGAGGGAGGAAGGCUCUUGGGUCGUAAACCUCUUUUCUCAGGGAAGAACAAAAUGACGGUACCUGAGGAAUAAGCAUCGGCUAACUCCGUGCCAGCAGCCGCGGUAAUACGGAGGAUGCAAGCGUUAUCCGGAAUGAUUGGGCGUAAAGCGUCCGCAGGUGGCGAUGUAAGUCUGCUGUUAAAGAGUCUAGCUCAACUAGAUAAGAGCAGUGGAAACUACAUAGCUAGAGUACGUUCGGGGCAGAGGGAAUUCCUGGUGUAGCGGUGAAAUGCGUAGAGAUCAGGAAGAACACCAGUGGCGAAGGCGCUCUGCUAGGCCGUAACUGACACUGAGGGACGAAAGCUAGGGGAGCGAAUGGGAUUAGAUACCCCAGUAGUCCUAGCCGUAAACGAUGGAUACUAGGCGUGGCUUGUAUCGACCCGAGCCGUGCCGUAGCUAACGCGUUAAGUAUCCCGCCUGGGGAGUACGCCGGCAACGGUGAAACUCAAAGGAAUUGACGGGGGCCCGCACAAGCGGUGGAGUAUGUGGUUUAAUUCGAUGCAACGCGAAGAACCUUACCAAGGCUUGACAUGUCGC